UACAGAGGGUGCAAGCGUUGUUCGGAAUUAUUGGGCGUAAAGCGCGUGUAGGCGGCUUUGCAAGUCGGGUGUGAAAGCCCUCAGCUCAACUGAGGAAGUGCGCCCGAAACUGCAGAGCUUGAGUGCCGGAGAGGGUGGCGGAAUUCCCCAAGUAGAGGUGAAAUUCGUAGAUAUGGGGAGGAACACCAGUGGCGAAGGCGGCGACCUGGUCCGAUACUGACGCUGAGGUGCGAAAGCGUGGGGAGCAAACAGG
This 253-nucleotide ribosomal RNA is filed under the name uncultured bacterium. RNAcentral describes it as "partial 16S ribosomal RNA". It matches the Rfam family "Bacterial small subunit ribosomal RNA", at positions 524 to 776 of the family's 1533-position model. The record is from RNAcentral.